Molecule: long non-coding RNA, 2942 nt
Organism: Diabrotica virgifera virgifera (western corn rootworm)
Lineage: Eukaryota; Metazoa; Arthropoda; Insecta; Coleoptera; Chrysomelidae
Exons: 3
Source: RefSeq, a predicted model, not a curated record
UCUAAAUUCAUGUCUAAAUUAUAAACAGAUAUGGCAACACUGUUCACAAAAUUCAUGCUGCUGCAUGGCCGUUGCCCUAAACUUUAUGUUGUCCCUUAUUUUAUACAAUGCUUUUUCGUCUUAAUGUCAUUGUAUUUACUGAGAAAAUAAUUAUAAGUUUAUUUUAGACUUGAUGAAACAAAUAAAUUUUGCGAAAGGUUGAUAUUAACACAUUCACCGACACAACUGCAUAUAAUAUAGUCACUUACUCCGUAAGAUGUGGCUACAUGUGAAGCGUGUCCGUGAAUGUGUUAACAGAGUUUUUUUAUCCUGCCCUUUAACUUAAUAUCUGCAACCUCAAAAUACAGAUAUAAGACUACGCCCGGUUUCAUAAUCAGUUAAAGUGGACUUUAAGUUUUAAGUUGGUACCCUUGUCAAUGCAAUUCAUAUGGGUAAAUGUCAACGUUAAAGUGAACUUUAGUUAAUGUUCACUUUAAGUUGAUUAUGAAUAAGAAUUCAGCUACUUUAUCCAUUUAGUGAAGAUGUUUUGUUUACAAAUCUAUAAACAUUUCAUCUACAUUGCUGUAUGCUAUACCUACUAGGAUGUUUACAGAUUUGUAAACGAAAAUAUCUUCAGUAAAUGAUGAAGUAGCCAUAUUCUUUGCCUUUAUUCUCCACCGUCUAUAUCAAAUAAGGAUCACUUGAAAGUGGUGGGUUCUUCAAUCAAUAGGUAGAGAAUAAAAGAUAAAUUCGGCUACUUCAAUCCUAUCAGUAAACAUCAUCACUUCAUCUACAAAUGAGUUUGAUAAGAAACAAACAUCCAUAGAGAUAUAAAAAUGCAAUAGUUGUUACCUUAAAAAGAUAUCAACAAGAUAAGUAAUGUAGCUAGUCAAAUGAACCAUUGAAAAUGUAGGAUAUAAAUGUUUAUUAAUAUUAAAGAAGAACAGGAACCAAGAGUUACACUUCCAAAUAUUUAAUAGCUUAGCCAUAAUGUCAACUGUACUCAGUUUUUGAAAAACCUAAUGAUUUAUGUUUUUAUUUACAUUUUCAAUGGUUCAUUUGACUAGCUACAUUACUUAAAUCUUGUUAGUUGAUAUCUUUUUAAGGCAACAACUGUUGCAUUUUUAUAUCUCUAUGGAUGUUUGUUUCUUAUCAAACUCAUUUGUACAAGAACUGAUGGAAGAGAAGGUUAAUGAUGUGAGUUAAUAGUAAAAUCAAGAUAGGAAGUAUAUAUCAGCAUAUCUUGCAAUGACGAUGGAAAAAAAAGAAAGUAUGUUUAGGAUGGAAUGCAACCAUAGACACAUGUUUCUGACUCAUAAGGCGUCAUCAGUACUGUAUAGCAAAGUUAGAAUAGGUGUAUGUUAGCUUGGGAAAGGAUCACUACAGGAGCACUACAACCAAUUUGUGACAAUAAUGUUAGAAGACCUUGACGAUUCCAGAAUAACAACUAAUACAUCCAAGGAGGAAGCUACAGCUACCUGAGGAAAGGAAUGCCAAAUGUUUAGAAUGUUUGAAACUCGAUGUUUUUUCUCAGAGUUUUUCAAACAAGGAAAGGUUAAUGCAGAUCUAUUCGAACUUGGCUAUACUGUACUGAUGAUAGCUAAUAAGUCUAAGACACGUGUCUGCCGUUGCAUAUCUUAAACAUACUGUAUUUUUUCCAUCCUAGUUGAGAGACAUGCUAAUAUAUAUAUAUACUUCCUACCUUGAUUUUAUUGUUAACUCGCAUUAACCACGAGGAAGUGGUUCAAGCACUUCAAAAAAAUAAAGAAAGAAAAGGGAACCAGAGGAUAUUCCUGGGGAAGUGUGGAAGGCGUCAGGAGAGAUAGGAAGAAGUUGGCUAACACGUUUAUUUAAUAGAAUUAUGGAAGUUACGACAAGUGCUAAACGAUGGAGAAGCAGUAUAUUUGUACCUGUUUAGAAAAAAAAAAUACAAUAAUGAACAAACUACAGGGUAAUAAAACUACUUAGUCACAUCAUCAAAAUAUGGGAGAGCCACAGCUGUUCCAAGAUGCUGUCAAAAUUAAAACAAUAUGGCUACUGGAAGGCAAACAUUGAAUAUUAUUCUAUCAGGUUCUUAUGGUUUUAGAUCAUUUUAGUUGUUGUACAAAGAUUAAUUUAACAUUUUCUCUGGAAGUAUUAAUUUGGAAAGAUAAUAUGCCUCAUUGGUGUUGUGUUUUGAAGUGUGAAAUGCAAAGUAAUCGUGAUAAAGUUAGCUUUUACCACUUACCAUCAGUGCUACAUUCUAAGCACAAAACUGAACCAAUUUAACUAAAUAAGUUAUAGUUAUCAUCUGAGAGACAACAACAAUGGUAAAAUGCAAUAAAAUAUAAAGAUUUUACUAGCAAAAUGGAAAUUCCCCUGUAAUCAUCUUAUAUCUGGUAAGUUACAACAUUUGAACAUUAACGAUUUUUGAAGAUGUUAACAGUCUAAUCUUGUAGGAAAACCAGCCGACUUAACUGAUAAUAACAAUCCAGAUUGGGUUCCUUCAAUAAAUAUGGGGUAUAUAAACACAAUGAAAUGAGUUCCCCAAAAUCUAAAAUGGGAAUUAAGGUACCAAAGGAGAAUUAAAAGAAAAGGGUACCUACAAGAAAAAAUUGCUUUUUUAUUCCUCUUGAAAUGAUUUAUAAGACACUGGACUAUAUUCACUGGUCUUAUAUUCUACAAAUACUAGAAUCAGCUGAGAGAAGUGGUCUACAAAAACCCAGGAAGGAAACGGAAUAUGUGGCUACGAAAGGCAAAAGAAAGGUUUACAAAGCAAAUGUGACACAUUUUUUUGAAAUAUUUAGGAAUAUCAGUAAAUUGCAUUAAAAAAAUGUAUGAAAAGAUUUUGUUCAAUAAAAAUGUUUAUAUUUAUCAAGGAUGUAUUAAUUGGUAUGGCCACAUAUUGUCAGUGAUGUAAUAAUACAUCCUAUCUGUUUUCUCAUGAGUUUCGUGAGACUAAAAACUUGUCUUAGGGUCACCUC